This is a long non-coding RNA of Daktulosphaira vitifoliae (grape phylloxera), 6021 nucleotides long. RefSeq lists it as uncharacterized. The transcript has 3 exons. NCBI's taxonomy places the organism in Eukaryota, Metazoa, Arthropoda, Insecta, Hemiptera, Phylloxeridae. The record is from RefSeq and is a predicted model, not a curated record.
UUGGAAUAAUAAAAUGUAAAUAAAAAACUUUUAUUGUCGUUUCUAUAUAUUAUUUUAGCAACACAAAAUUGUUUUAUUAUUGGAAAAUAAAAAGGAAUUGUUUUAUACAAGUAUAAUUGUUCUUAUAAAACGACAAGAUUUUUUUAUGAAAAAUGACAAAAUUACAAUUUGAAUUUGUGAUAAAACCAUCGAGUGAUGGAAAAUCUAAUAUAAUGGCUAUAACUUCAUUUACCAAUGAAAAAAACCAAACUUUUGCAAUACCAGAAGAAUUACAGCAAAUAAAUCUUCAUAAAGAGGUAUGUAAUACAUCCGUCUACUUUAGUAAAAACCACCUUAAAAAAAAGACACCAAUUUAGAAAAAUUUGGAUUGGUCUGACGGAGGAACUAAAAAAAGUUAACAUUGAUGAUUAUGGAAAUAUGAUAUUUGAAAACCAAUAUUUAGAAGAAAUAACAGAUAAACCAGCUGCUAAUAGUAUUUCGGAUGAAAAAAAGACUUUUAAUGAUUUAAAUCAGAACACUUUAAAACUUAUAGAAAAAUGUAUGGAAAACACUCGGAUGACAAGAAAUCAAAACUUGAAAAAAAUAUCAGAACAGUUUUUACUUGAAAAAUUCACGAGCAAGAAUACAAAUGUAAAUCAAUGGAUAGACAUUUUUGAAAUGGAAUGUACCCGUUAUGAUGUAAUGAAAGAUGAGCAAAAAAUUGAAAUUCUCAGAUUGUUUUUGGAUAAAUCUUGCUCUGAUUGGUACAGCUCUAUGCUUAUAAAACUGACCAGAGACUCUGAUUGGAAAAUAUGGAAAGAAUAUUUUUGUGACACAUUUAAAAACAAAGGGUGGAACCCAAUCACAUAUGCGUUAGUAUACAAAUAUAAAGACGGUUCAUUGUUUGACUAUGCGAUAAAAAAAGAGAAACUUUUAUUGUACAUGAGAAGAUCGAUUGAUUCAGUUACCUUGAUUGAUAUUAUUGCAGCUGGGUUUCCAGGUUUUAUUCUUAAUGAAAUUGAUAGGGAGAUAUUAAAAAACACAGUGGAUCUCCUUAAUGAAAUCACCAAAUAUGAGCAUUUAGUAAAUAGAAAAAGUAUUUUUGAGAAAAAAAAAAUAUUAUAAAUAUAAAUAAUAAAGAAGGACAUGAGGAAAAAAAUCAUGUAAAAAUUGUGAAAGAUUAAAUAAAGGCACUCGUUACCAUGCUGAAACAGUUUGUUGGUUUAAAACAAAAGAAAAUGAUAGAGGAAAAAACAACUACAUCAAACAUGUAAACAAUGAAGUAGUGGAAGUUGAACUAAAUGAAACGGACCAAAAAAACUAAUUGUUACACCAUUAAUCAAAACAAAAAUACUUUUAGAUAAUAAAUUGGAAAUAUUGGGAAUAUAUGACUCAGGAUCAAACGUUUCUUUAAUAAAUUCUAAAUUAAUAAAAAUAAAAAAUAAAAAAAUUAUUAAUACAAAAAAUGAAAAUAUAACAACGAUUAAUGGUGUCAAAAAAACAAGUGGUUUGAUAACUAUAAAAAUUAAAAUUUUUGAAAUAGAAAAAAAAGUUGAUGUUUUCAUCAUAGAUGAAGAAAACUUUAAAUAUGAUUUUUUUAUUGGAUUAGAUAUGAUAAAAAAUUUCAAACUUAUUCAAAAUGAAAAUUUAAUAAUAACUCAAAAAAAUGAUAAUAAUAUAGAAAAAGAUUCUACCAACAAUGAAAUGAAAAAUAAUCAAGAAAACUACAAAAUUAAUUUUAAUGAAUACAUAAAAGAAAAGGAUUUUCAAAUAAAUAUAGAUCACUUAACAAAAAAUCAAAAAUCUGAAAUAAAUAAACCGAUUGACAAAUAUAAAUCAAUUUUUGCAAAGGACAAAUAUGAUAUUGGUACAGUGAAAAAAUAUGAGGCAUAUAUUGACUUAUUAGUCGACAAAUAUUGUAGUAAAAGGCCUUAUAGAUGCACGGUAGAAGAUAAAAAGGAGAUAGAAGAACAAAUAUCAAAAUUAUUAGAUAAUAAACUUACCAUUUAAACAUAGCAUUUAAAAAAGAAGAUAACAAAAGAUCCAGGCUAUGUAUAGAUUUCAGGGACUUGAAAAAAAUAGUUAUACCUCAAGCUCAACCAUUCCCACUGAUUGAUGACUUAAUGAUAAAGACAAGAAAUUGUAAAUUAUUCUCCACAUUGGAUAUAAAUACUGCUUUUUGGUCAAUCCCUCUGCGAAUUGAAGAUAGGAAGAAGACUGCUUUUGUCAGACAGGAGGGACAUUUUCAGUGGACCUGCUUACCUUUCGGCCUAAAAACCUCACCUUCAAUUUUUCAGAGAAAACUAAGUGACAUAUUAAGGAAUUAUAAACUUACAGAUUUUGCUGUAAACUAUAUAGACGAUAUUCUUAUAUUUUCUAAAUCUUUUUCUGAACACAUGGAUCAUAUAACAUAGUUGUUAGAGGCAAUAAAAAAAGAAGGCUUCAGGUUAAAGUUCAAAAAAUGCACAUUUGCAAAAAACUCAGUGAAAUAUCUUGGUCACAUAAUAAACAAUAAUUGUAUCAAACCUAUAAAAGAUAAUUUAAUUUCAAUAAAAAAUUUUCCUGAUCCAAAAACUCAAAAGAAUAUAAGGCAAUUUCUGGGAAAGAUAAAUUUUUACCAUGAUUAUGCACAAAAUAGUGCAAUAAUCCUAGAGCCACUGCAUAAUUUACUUAGGAAAAAUCAAAGAUUUAUCUGGUCUGUAGAGUGUCAAAAAACAUUUGACUAUAUAAAAAAUUUGCUGUGCUCACAACCAGUUCUAGAAAUUUUUGAUCAAGAAUUGCCAAUUAAUUUUUACACAGAUGCAUCUUUGGAAGGUAUUGGAGCAAUAUUAAAACAAAUGCAACCAAAUGGGAAAGAAAAACCAGUGGCAUACUUUUCAAAGAAACUAAAUGAAGUCCAAAAAAGAAAAAAAGCUUGGAGGGUUUAGCUAUAAAGGAAGCAAUAAGAUACUGGCAAUAUUGGCUAAUAGGAAAAUCAUUUACUGUAUACUCGGAUCACAAACCAUUGGAAAAUAUGAACAUAAAAUCUAGACCUGACGAAGAGCUUGGAGAUUUGACUUACUAACUGUCACAAUAUGACUUUCAAAUAAAAUAUACGCAGAGACAGAGAAAAUUGGAAUGCUUCUCACUGAUCAAUACCCUGGGAUUAAUUCAAAUGAAUUCAAAAAUUUUUAAAAAAGAAAUCAAUACCAAUUGUUUUACUGCAAUAAAUGCACCUUUCUCAAAUGGAAUAAAUGAAAGACUUAAUCAAACGCUGGUGAACAAAAUCAGAUGUAAAAUCAAUGAGAGAAAAAAAAAGUAGCCUGGACAACAAUAGCUGGACAACGGCUGGGAGUGGAGAUCCCGCUUAAGGAUUCCAUGACUUAUCUGAGCCUUGUCAUAGACAAACGUCUAAAGUUCGGGCCGCACAUUACUCGUGCGGGCCCAGAUAGUCAUGAAUUGCCUGGCGGGACUCAUGCCCAAUCUGGGAGGGCCGAAAGAGACUAAAUGUUGGUUCAGGCCGGCUCCUUAGGUAUUUUGUGUUUAAUGUUAUGUGUGAGUUAUUUUUGCCCCUCUCGCAUUGAACGGGGGAGGCCACACCACGUUGUGAAUCUUUCUUUUUUUUUCUUCUUACAGCCGACUUCAUGCAGACCGCCCCGGGACUGCCGUUAAGCAUUGCUUCGAAGCGGCCUACGUCGCUUUCUAACACUUCUGCCACCGCGCUGUGCUUCGGCCCGAACUUAAUCCGGGGCCGGAUCAUAGCGCGGUGCUGCCUCCCCCGUUAGCCGGACCCCACUGGUGGGUCCGUUGCCCGGGCUGCACCACGCGGAGGUGGGGGCAGGACUUCGCGAUGGGUUGGAUCCAUCCUUGAAGGGCACUCUUUAGCGAUAUGCCCACCUUUUCUGUACCUGUGACAGUUCCCUGACCUGUCCGGGCCCUUACAGCUGUGGGCAAUGUGCCCAUACUCCAGACAUCUGUAGCACUGAGGACCUUUGUCAAUGAUCCUCAGUCUACAGUUUGUCCAGCCGACUUUUAUUCGGCUCACUGUGGUAAGCCGAAUAGCAACCUUGACGGGCACGUCGUAUCUCGCGUAACGCCCCUUGCCUUCAAUGUUAGGCCGUAUGAUAACGGGCCCAACACUUGGACAUUCCAGAGCGUCGCUUAGGGCCCGACGCACCUCGUUAUCUUCGUGCCAGUCCUCCACAUCCUUGAUUAGGACAGUGCGGGUCAUCGAAGGGCGAUGCACCCGCACAUCCUUCUCUUUGAGCGCCUCCUCCAACUUGGCGGCUAGUAAAUCCGCUUUCUCGGCGGUUCCUCGAACUUCCAGCAGAAUGGCCCCCGUCUGAAUCCUCCGGGUCCCAGACACCUGGAUACCCAAGGCCACAAGGUCCACAGAGGGCGACGCCGUCUUCAUCACUUCGGCAUACUUCAAGUUCCCCUUCAAAGGGCCGAUAAUCACAGCCUCCGUACGAGGCACCCUCGCCCGCAACUUUUUUCGUGUAGGCGGUGGAGGUCUAGGCCUAGUUGCCGUUUCCUCGGUCUUCCCCAGUCCACCCUUGCGACGAACCACCUCCGUCCAAGUGGGCCUCUCCGUCUCCGCUCCUGUGUCCACACUCGCCGGAGCGGACUUUGCAGCAGCAGUCCCCCGAUCCGAAUGCUUCUCGGGAAGCGUAACGGUCGGCGAGGAGGCCGUACUCUCGACAGUGUUCAGUCUCUUCUUCUUCUUCUUCUUUCGCUUCUUCCCAGGCAUCGUCAACGGAUCAGACCUGGCAUUUGGGGGCUCCUCCGUUGUUUGUGUGGCCACAUUCCUCCUCAACGCCAUAUCAGACGUCCCCGGCCUGUUUGUUUGCGGUCCAACCGCCGUUUGAGUUCCCGCGUCCGUUGUCGGCUUCCGUUUCGCGAAUACCGGAGCUAACGUACCAGAACCCCUUUCCGGCGAGGCUACAAUGGUCCCCGAGCGCGGUGUCGGUCUCCUGCGCUUUUCCGUAGCCAGGAUUUCCUCCAGCUUCUUGGUCGCCUCCUGGACUUCCUUGUGGAUGCCCAUCCCUCUACGCUUAUCGAUGACUCCGCGGAGCGCUGCGACUUGUCCCGCUAUGUUUCCAACCAAAGCCGAUUGCGCGGUUGCUUCUUCCUCGGAGUCAUGCCUCUUCUUACGGCGUGACAUGUCCGAACUUCGAAGUUCGGUCAGCGCUUGGCAGGAAAGAGUUAUCUGCUCCAGUAAGUAGUACUGCAGAUGAGUACCUGGAACCUCUUUCAUGAGGCUACCCUCCACUUCGGCCUGUCUGGUCAGGCCGACGACAUGAUUCAAUCCGAUGUCGAAUGUCGCUUCAUCGUCGCUCUCUUCGUUACAAAGUGGCGCCUUCCUCUUCCCGGGGUAACGCUUUGGGGGCGUCUCCUCCGGCAGGGGGCUCAAAGGCGGGGAGACCUCACGGAAAGGAGCGGUCGUCGCCUGCCCGAGAGAAGGCUCAACACCACUCACACCAGGCCUAACACCUGUCCUCAUUGUUUCGUCCUCGGAUAGACUAUUGUCUCCUUCGGACGAUUCCUCCACAACUCCGGGUGCCGUUUCCGCGACGACGCAUUCGUAGUCGAACACAUCAACGACAUCCCGGAGUCCAAUCCCCAUUGCUUCCAUCAUCGGAUCCUUCCUAUGGCGCGUCAACAGUUCCCGGCUGACCAGCCGAGCAAUUUGGAUCGCACGGUCCGCCGUGCUUUCGCCUCGAAGGGAGGAGACGCACUUACUCAUAAGGCAUACUCGCUCCUCUUCCCCUUCUACUCCAUGGAAGGGGUUAUAAACCUCCUUGCGCUCCGGAGAGAAGUUGCCUCCGUUUUGGACGUCACUGGUCAUCAUCCCCAGUAUGGUGUCUACUGCGCCCUUAAAGACGCUUAGGUUGCGGAAUCUUUGACGAGUGCUAAAAAUACAAAUGACAUUUCACGAUAAAAAAGCAUGAUAAUUAUUUCUUGUUUGCCGAUACGUUUAAUAAUUACUUCAAGUCAUUAUAAUAUCUAUUUCAAAAAAAUUUUUAUCAAGUCUUAUAAAAAAAUUGUUUGACACUAUAGACA